GACGAACGCUGGCGGCGCGCCUAACACAUGCAAGUCGAACGGAGCUUAGAGAGCUUGCUUUUUAAGCUUAGUGGCGAACGGGUGAGUAACGCGUGAGUAACCUGCCCUAGAGUGGGGGACAACAGUUGGAAACGACUGCUAAUACCGCAUAAGCCCACGGUACCGCAUGGUACUGAGGGAAAAGGAUUUAUUCGCUUUAGGAUGGACUCGCGUCCAAUUAGCUAGUUGGUGAGGUAACGGCCCACCAAGGCGACGAUUGGUAGCCGGACUGAGAGGUUGAACGGCCACAUUGGGACUGAGACACGGCCCAGACUCCUACGGGAGGCAGCAGUGGGGGAUAUUGCACAAUGGGGGAAACCCUGAUGCAGCGACGCCGCGUGGAGGAAGAAGGUUUUCGGAUUGUAAACUCCUGUCGUUAGGGACGAUAAUGACGGUACCUAACAAGAAAG
RNAcentral lists this ribosomal RNA (449 nucleotides) under uncultured bacterium. Its description in RNAcentral is "bacterial SSU rRNA". It matches the Rfam family "Bacterial small subunit ribosomal RNA", at positions 28 to 490 of the family's 1533-position model. The record is from RNAcentral.